AUCCAGAUGACGAAUCCCAAAUAGGACGAAACGCGUGUCCUAGAU
This 45-nucleotide non-coding RNA is filed under the name Schistosoma curassoni. Lineage: Eukaryota; Metazoa; Platyhelminthes; Trematoda; Strigeidida; Schistosomatidae. The record is from RNAcentral.